Molecule: long non-coding RNA, 1301 nt
Organism: Portunus trituberculatus (swimming crab)
Lineage: Eukaryota; Metazoa; Arthropoda; Malacostraca; Decapoda; Portunidae
Exons: 2
Source: RefSeq, a predicted model, not a curated record
CAAACACCGUGGACAAUCUCCGCUCAGGGACCACCCUCCAUAUCCCGCUUGAAAAUGGUCCUUUUUUUGCACUUUACGACAGUAGGACAUUAACAUAGAGAUACCCGGGCCCUAUAAACACCAUAGGUAUUUUCUCCUCUUCCCCGUCCACAGCCAGAGACGAGCCGUCGUCAGACCUCCUGCUUCGGCGGUGGCUAGCGAGAAGAAGCUUGACUAGUAUAGUCAACACCUUGCAAUCUUCAGCAAUACACCAGGGCCUCCUGAAGUCCACCCUGGGCCUCCUAAGAUGGCUGUGAAGACCUGCCAAGCAGCCUAGCAGGAGCUUGGUUAAAUGCAGCUUGGAUCUCUGGGGUCUCUAUUACUUGUUUAUUGUCUUCAGUGAUGCAAAAUAAAAGUUGUAGUAGUAAUGUCAAUUUUAUUUUGUUGUCUUUGACAUAUGAACAAAUUGUGUAAAGAAAAAAAUCAAGUUGAUAUAAAAAAAAAAAUGCUUAUCAAAUAAAAGUGAUGUGAUUUCCCUACUAAUUUCCUCAGUAGUGAAAGUAGAAAGACAUCGUAGCUCAAACAGCUACAAUAUGCACAUAAAGGUACCAUCCCUUCCCUACAGCAAGGAGGGUCAGUUUCCCAAGUACCACCCUCCUCAGCCACAGGGGAAGAGACAGGAACUCUAAGAGCAAAUUUUACCUUAAACUGAGCAUAUUUUAGUAGUCUUUCCUCUUUCACUACUGGGAAAAUGGAUAACUAAAUCACAUCACUUUUAUUUGUUACGCCUUUCUUUCUUUCUUUCUCUUUUUAUUUUAUUUUAUUUAUUUAUUUAUUUAUUUUUAUUUUAUUUUAUUUAUUUAUUUAUUUUUAUUUAUUUUUUUUUUACAUUUUUACACAAUGGUUGGUGGAGUUAAGUGAGGGAUAUAUGUCAAUCAAUGAGAAUGUAUUUCAAGUAUUCAUUUGGUAUCUAUUUCCUUACUUGUACAGUACAUUUAAGGGGAAAUGAAUGCUUUGAGUGAUGUGCUGCAGAUCUACAUGGAAAGAGCUCGAAUAGAUGACAGUUGUUAGUUUUGAAAGAGAGAGAGAGAGAGAGAGAGAGAGAGAGAGAGAGAGAGAGAGAGAGAGAGAGAGAGAGAGAGAGAGAGAGAGAGAGAGAGAGAGAGAGAGAGAGAGAGAGAAAUAACUUGUUUUAUACUAGUUAUCAACAUUCAAGUUGCAAACCUACUUACUCGAGAGAGAGAGAGAGAGAGAGAGAGAGAGAGAGAGAGAGAGAGAGAGAGAGAGAGAGAGAGAGAGAGAGAGAGAGAGAGAGAGAGAGA